GAUGAGUCUGACCUAAAGGGACAGCCAGGGGAAUUUAAAGAGCAUAGUUGAGAGAUGAUGUGCAUGCAGAAUCUAUAGAAUUUGCUAACUGAUUGAUUAAUUGUGGGUAGGAAGAGAGAAAUCAAAGAAAGUGGAGGUUUUGAGUUUCUAGAUAAUUGCAAGAGAGAAAAGAGACAAUUACAAAGGAAAGGAGAAGGAGCUACUUCUUGAGAGAAGAUCAGUUUAGAUUUAGACAUUUUAAGAAUUCAAAGGGUUGUCAAGACAGCCAGACGGACAUGGACACUAAUAAGUUAGAAAUAAAGGUUUUGUAAUAUGGGAAAGAGGACUGAGCUAGAAAAUAGACUCAUAGAUAAUCAGCCUAGGAGUGAUAUUGCUGUGAGAUAAAAGAAGAAAACAAAGUCAGAAUCUUGGAAAACACCCUCUUCAGAGUCUCGCUGCUCAAAACGUGGUCAGUGGCCCAGCAGCACUGACAUGAGGACCUUAGUUGGAAACUCAGAAUCUCAGGCUCCACCCCAGACCUGCUGAACCAGCAUCUUCAACUUAACAAGAACCCGAAGAGAUUUGUGCCACAUCAAAAAGUUUGAGAAGCUCUGAUCUAGGUGAGCCAAGCCAGCAAAGAAAGGGGGUGGAGCAGAAAAUGGGAGGAGAAUAGGGUAAUGCAGAAUCAUCAAGACAAGGUAAAUUGGACUUUCACAAAAACGGGGCUGGAAGGAGUGUUGCUCAACAAUAUCCAAAACCACAGAGGUUGAAAAGCACAAGGAAAGAAGCUGGACCCUGGACACGGUGACUCUGAUUCAAUUAUGCAGAUGACCACAAGCCUCUGGGGUUGGCAGAGCCACAAGAAAGAAGGUGCCUGGAUGAAGGAGAGCUACCCACUGACCUGGACACCCAAUUAUAGGAUAGACAGUGAAGUGCAACUACAGCCCGCAAAUGAAAAUGAAUAAAAUUAAUCCAGCCCCUCAAGGCAGUCAUCUGUCUUAGAGCUAUUGGAAUCCUGGAUCAUUGUGGGAAAUGAAAAGAACUGGUUUUUAGCAAGGAGACCAAGAAACUCUACUCCCUAGGGGCUAGCAAUGAGAGAAAGGAAGCCUUGAGUCUUUGAGCACAGGGUGACAGUUUGGGUCCUAUGUGAGAUGAUCAAAUCCACAGCAACAGAGGAAAGGACAAAAGGAAAAGAUACUUCGAUGGAAUCAGCAGCCAUUGAUCCAAUGCCAACUCCAAGACUGGAACGUCGCAAUGAUAGUUCCAAGGCGGAAAUUUGACGUAAUUCUUUUCGACACAGUUUUACAGGUCUGGAUGCCCAUUUUAAUUCUUCUGAAAGCAUGCCUCCUUCUGGCUUCAGGACUCCAUCUCCAGCCUUAUGAUCUAAAAAUAAUCCCCAAACCAAAAAAUUAGAUAUUAUUUCCUCAAAAUUAGGUGUUUUAAUCAAAACAUCUUAACAUAAAUACAUUAUUAUCACCCAAUAUGCAUAA
Molecule: long non-coding RNA, 1469 nt
Filed under: Homo sapiens (human)
Lineage: Eukaryota; Metazoa; Chordata; Mammalia; Primates; Hominidae
Description: novel transcript
Source: RNAcentral